ACCAAACAUACGUAUUUAAAAUAAUUUGUGGAGAAGGCUUUUCAAAGAUCAGAAUAGCUCAACUUGUAACUUUUGAUGCCAGAAAUAAUAUAUUAAAAUUUCAUCAAAUUUGGAAUAGAAUCAGCCAUCUGAUAGUCCGACAAAGAAGCCUAUAUUUUGAACCUUUUUUCUUUUACCCACUAUGCUGCCACUCUGGUUUCCGCAUUGGGCUUUUUCAUGUUUGGC
This 225-nucleotide long non-coding RNA is filed under the name Elaeis guineensis (African oil palm). Its description in RNAcentral is "long non-coding RNA (EGUI_LNC033248)". Lineage: Eukaryota; Viridiplantae; Streptophyta; Magnoliopsida; Arecales; Arecaceae. The record is from RNAcentral.